GGCGCACGGGUGCGUAACGCGUGGGAAUCUGCCCUUCGGUUCGGAAUAACUCAGGGAAACUUGAGCUAAUACCGGAUAAUGACUUCGGUCCAAAGAUUUAUCGCCGAGGGAUGAGCCCGCGUAGGAUUAGCUUGUUGGUGGGGUAAAAGCCUACCAAGGCGACGAUCCUUAGCUGGUCUGAGAGGAUGAUCAGCCACACUGGGACUGAGACACGGCCCAGACUCCUACGGGAGGCAGCAGUGGGGAAUAUUGGACAAUGGGCGAAAGCCUGAUCCAGCAAUGCCGCGUGAGUGAUGAAGGCCUUAGGGUUGUAAAGCUCUUUUACCCGGGAUGAUAAUGACAGUACCGGGAGAAUAAGCCCCGGCUAACUCCGUGCCAGCAGCCGCGGUAAUACGGAGGGGGCUAGCGUUGUUCGGAAUUACUGGGCGUAAAGCGCGCGUAGGCGGCUUUGUAAGUUAGAGGUGAAAGCCCGGGGCUCAACUCCGGAACUGCCUUUAAGACUGCAUCGCUAGAAUCAUGGAGAGGUGAGUGGAAUUCCGAGUGUAGAGGUGAAAUUCGUAGAUAUUCGGAAGAACACCAGUGGCGAAGGCGACU
RNAcentral lists this ribosomal RNA (594 nucleotides) under uncultured bacterium. Its description in RNAcentral is "bacterial SSU rRNA". It matches the Rfam family "Bacterial small subunit ribosomal RNA", at positions 97 to 726 of the family's 1533-position model. The record is from RNAcentral.